Molecule: ribosomal RNA, 420 nt
Filed under: bacterium
Lineage: Bacteria
Description: partial 16S ribosomal RNA
Rfam family: Bacterial small subunit ribosomal RNA
Source: RNAcentral
UGGGGGAUAUUGCACAAUGGGCGAAAGCCUGAUGCAGCGACGCCGCGUGGGGGAUGAAGGCUUUCGGGUUGUAAACCUCUUUCGCUAUCGAACAAGGCCCGCUUAGGGUGGGUUGAGGGUAGGUGGAGAAGAAGCGCCGGCUAACUACGUGCCAGCAGCCGCGGUAAUACGUAGGGCGCGAGCGUUGUCCGGAAUUAUUGGGCGUAAAGGGCUUGUAGGCGGCUUGUUGCGCCUGCUGUGAAAACGCGGGGCUUAACUUCGCGCGUGCAGUGGGUACGGGGAGGCUUGAGUGUGGUAGGGGUGACUGGAAUUCCAGGUGUAGCGGUGGAAUGCGCAGAUAUCUGGAGGAACACCGAUGGCGAAGGCAGGCCACUGGGCCAUUACUGACGCUGAGGAGCGAAAGCAUGGGUAGCGAACAGG